This 930-nucleotide ribosomal RNA is filed under the name uncultured Candidatus Cardinium sp. Its description in RNAcentral is "bacterial SSU rRNA". It matches the Rfam family "Bacterial small subunit ribosomal RNA", at positions 498 to 1432 of the family's 1533-position model. Lineage: Bacteria; Pseudomonadati; Bacteroidota; Cytophagia; Cytophagales; Amoebophilaceae. The record is from RNAcentral.
UAAUUCCGUGCCAGCAGCCGCGGUAAUACGGGAGGUGCAAGCGUUAUCCGGUUUUAUUGGGUUUAAAGGGUGCGUAGGCGGCUUAUUAAGUCAGUUGUGAAAUCCUAGUGCUUAACGCUAGAACUGCGAUUGAUACUAUUAGGCUUGAGUUAAGAAGAGGUAGGCAGAAUUUAUGGUGUAGUAGUGAAAUGCUUAGAUAUCAUAAGGAAUACCAAUAGCGUAGGCAGCUUACUGGUCUUUAACUGACGCUGAGGCACGAAAGCGUGGGGGGCAAACAGGAUUAGAUACCCUGGUAGUCCACGCCGUAAACGAUGAUCACUCGAUAUACAUGAUGCGUCAUGUGUGUCUAAGCGAAAGCAUUAAGUGAUCCACCUGGGGAGUAUACUCGCAAGGGUGAAACUCAAAGGAAUUGACGGGGGUCCGCACAAGCGGUGGAGUAUGUGGUUUAAUUCGAUAAUACGCGAGGAACCUUACCUGGGCUAGAAUGUAUUUUGCUACCUUGAGAAAUUAAGGGUUCCUUCGGGACGGAAUACAAGGUGCUGCAUGGCUGUCGUCAGCUCGUGCCGUGAGGUGUUGGGUUAAGUCCUAUAACGAGCGAAACCCUUUUACUUAAUUGCCAGCACAUAAUGGUGGGGACUUUAAGUAGACUGCCCGUGUAAGCGGGAGGAAGGAGAGGACGAGGUCAAGUCAUCAUGGCCUUUAUGCCCAGGGCUACACACGUACUACAAUGGCAUGUACAAAGGGAAGCUACUUGGUAACAAGAUGCAAAUCUCAAAAGCAUGUCUCAGUUCGGAUUGGGGUCUGCAAUUCGACCUCAUGAAGUUGGAAUCGCUAGUAAUCGCGUAUCAGCAAUGACGCGGUGAAUACGUUCUCGGACCUUGUACACACCGCCCAUCAAGCCAUGGGAGUUGGUAGAGCUUGAAGACAGUG